UGAUCCUCUGUAUGACUCUGCUCUUGUCGCAGGAUGCCUAAGGGUUUGUUUGGGCUCUUUUUACUGGCUUCUGUGGCUUCUACUGCCUAGAAGCUGGAGCCCAAAUCCGGAGCGCUCCAGGAAAAGGGUCCAAAAGCCGCAGCUCACCGUUCCCCGUCGCCGCUGCCGCCGCCGGUCCCUACCUCGACCCCGGCGGCUUGGCCAGCACCGGCCGGCGAAUCGGAGGCGACGCCUACGUAAUCUCCCUUUCCCGGAGCGCCAGGAAGCAGCCGCCGUGUUCGCUGCAUCCUCCACCGACCACUCCCCAUCACCGUACCGCCUCCACCGGCCCCAACCCCGGCCACCGGCCACUCGGAUCGCCAUCCGUCGCCGCAGUAACCUCUUUCCAUAUGUCCUUUGUCCGCUCCCUCCCCUUCUUCCAGCAUGUGCUGCCUGCCUGCUCCGUUUUUGCGUGUGUGAUUGGACGAGUGCUCUGCGUUUAUAUAUGCUAUGCGUGCAUGAUGGUCGUGCUCUGUGCGUGUGCUGCCUGGCUACUAGUAUUUCAUGUAGUACUAGUGAUUAGUGAACUGCUACUAGCUUUUUGACUGCUCGAUUUGGUACUAGCCAAGUGCCAAUGCAUGUUGUUGCAAAUUUGAUUGCUCUCAUUUGAUACAAGCGAACUGCUAGUGUGUGUGUGUGCUAUGGCUAAUUUGACUGCUCACAUUUGGUACUAGUGAAGUGCGAGUGUGUGCUCUGCUUAUAUAAAUUGCAAAUUUGACUACUCCAUUUGGUACUACUGAACUGCUAGUGUGUUCUCUGCUUAUAUAAAUUACGAAUUUGACUGCUUGAAUUGGUAUUUGUGAACUAGUUGAAUCAGUACAAGAAAAUUGUACUAUUGAACUGCUAGUUUGUCAUUUGAGAAUUAAUACUUGGAUGUAUAGAUGGAAGGACCGAAAGUGAAAGCUCAGUGGGAUCGAGAGGCCACCAGAAAUUUCUGUGAGUGUGCCGCAACACAAGUACGGCUUGGAAAUAGGCCAACCCAAGCUUUAACUACUGCUGGCUAUAAGGGUUUAAUUGUAGACUUCAAUGCAAAGACCGGAAGAAAGUAUGUACAGAAGCAAUUCAAGAAUCGUUGGGAUGAUAUGAAAGCUAUAUACUCAGCAUGGGUAUUUUACAAAAACAAAGCAACUGGGCUAGGAUGGGUUGAUGCGAAGCAAACUAUUAUGGCAGACGAUGAUCAAUGGGUUGCAUUGAUCGUGAUUCACAAGCCAAUUAAAGCUUUCCGUCAUGGACCUCUAGACUGCUUGAAUGAGCUAGCGAUCAUGUUUGAAAAGGCUAAUGUUGAUGGACUCUCAUCUCUCAUGCCUGGAGUGGAUAAUGUUUCCUAGAGCGCAGGGGAGCCACCACCGCGUCCACUGCCUCCUCCACCGGCCAAUCCCAUCACCGUAUGUAUGUUCCUUUCACGGAUGCAAUUGGUGAUAGGGCAACCAAGUACUUGACAUGGUUGGUUUCUUUCAAGAUUCAUAUGGCAAGUAGAGCUUUUCGCAAAGGACCUCCAGCGAAUGUAAAGGCGCUUCACAUCAUAAUUGGAGGAGCAAAUGUUGAUGGACCCUCAAUCCUAGUACCACCAAAUCCCAAGCGUAAGGAAGUAAGUGCAAUUACUUACAGUCCAUCGAAGUUGCAGAAAAUUAAUGUGUGGGGCCUCCAAGAUUAGUGAUGAGUAUUACAUGGCUACAGAGUUGAUUUUCUCGACCCUUCAAACCGCAGCUUCUUUUAUGAAAUGAAGAAAAAUGCAAGGAUACUUAAUUGGCUCAAGCGACAUUGCGAGCACUACAAAAAAAUACACUUCCGUGAUGAUACGUGUUUGUCACAGUAGGUCACAUUUUCUGUGAUGCAUGUACAUCCAUGACAAAUUUAUGACAGAAUCAAGAUAGU
Molecule: long non-coding RNA, 1914 nt
Organism: Triticum urartu
Lineage: Eukaryota; Viridiplantae; Streptophyta; Magnoliopsida; Poales; Poaceae
Source: RefSeq, a predicted model, not a curated record